GGACGAACGCUGGCGGCGCGCCUAACACAUGCAAGUCGAACGAGCGAGAGAGAGCUUGCUUUCUUGAGCGAGUGGCGAACGGGUGAGUAACGCGUGAGGAACCUGCCUCAAAGAGGGGGACAACAGUUGGAAACGACUGCUAAUACCGCAUAAGCCCACGGUUCCGCAUGGCACAGAGGGAAAAGGAGCAAUCCGCUUUGAGAUGGCCUCGCGUCCGAUUAGCUAGUUGGUGAGGUAACGGCCCACCAAGGCGACGAUCGGUAGCCGGACUGAGAGGUUGAACGGCCACAUUGGGACUGAGACACGGCCCAGACUCCUACGGGAGGCAGCAGUGGGGAAUAUUGCACAAUGGGGGAAACCCUGAUGCAGCGACGCCGCGUGGAGGAAGAAGGUCUUCGGAUUGUAAACUCCUGUUGUUGGGGAAGAUAAUGACGGUACCCAACAAGGAAGUGACGGCUAACUACGUG
This 467-nucleotide ribosomal RNA is filed under the name uncultured bacterium. Its description in RNAcentral is "partial 16S ribosomal RNA". It matches the Rfam family "Bacterial small subunit ribosomal RNA", at positions 27 to 507 of the family's 1533-position model. The record is from RNAcentral.